AGUGAACGCUGGCGGCAGGCCUAACACAUGCAAGUCGAGCGGCAGCGCGGGGGCAACCCUGGCGGCGAGCGGCGGACGGGUGAGGAAUUCGUCGGAAUCUGCCUAUUUGUGGGGGAUAACGUAGGGAAACUUACGCUAAUACCGCAUACGUCCUACGGGAGAAAGUGGGGGACCGCAAGGCCUUACGCGGAAAGAAGAGCCAACGACCUAGUAGCAAGUUGGUGGGGUAAAGGCCCACCAAGGCGACGAUCGGUGGCUGGGCUGAGAGGAUGAUCAGCCACACUGGAACGGAGAAUCAGCCCAGACUCCUACGGGAGGCAGCAGUGGGGAAUAUUGGACAAUGAGCGCAAGCCUGAUACAGCCAUGCAGCGUGUGUGAAGAAGGCCUUCAGGUUGUAAAGCACUUUUGUCCAGAAAGAAAUCCAUGGGGCUAAUACCUUCGGGGGAUGACGGUACCGGAAGAAUAAGCACCGGCUAACUUCGUG
This 484-nucleotide ribosomal RNA is filed under the name uncultured bacterium. Its description in RNAcentral is "partial 16S ribosomal RNA". It matches the Rfam family "Bacterial small subunit ribosomal RNA", at positions 29 to 507 of the family's 1533-position model. The record is from RNAcentral.